UACGGAGGGUGCAAGCGUUGCUCGGAAUUAUUGGGCGUAAAGGGUAGGUAGGUGGUCUCAUUUGUCUGGGGUGAAAGCCUUGAGCUUAACUCAAGAAGUGCCCCAGAAACGGUGAGACUAGAGUCCUGGAGAGGGUCGUGGAAUUCCCGGUGUAGCGGUGAAAUGCGUAGAGAUCCGGAGGAACACCGAAGGCGAAGGCAGUGUCCUGGCGCGUAUCUGACGCUGAGGUGCGAAAGCCAGGGGAGCGAACGGG
RNAcentral lists this ribosomal RNA (253 nucleotides) under uncultured prokaryote. RNAcentral's name for it is "partial 16S ribosomal RNA". It matches the Rfam family "Bacterial small subunit ribosomal RNA", at positions 524 to 776 of the family's 1533-position model. The record is from RNAcentral.